AGCCUGGGAAGGUCUGGGACCAGUACUCUUGUCUCCAGAAGAUCGGGACAGGCUCCUUUGGGGCCGCCUACCUGGCGCAACACAAGCGCACAGGAGAUCAAAGGGUCAUCAAGGCAGCAGGCAAGUCCCAGGUGCGGGUGCCAGUUGAGGAUGUAGAGAGGGAAAUCAUGGUGAUGCAGCAGUUGGAUCACCCCCACGUCGUUCGCCUCUACGAAUGGUACGAGGGCGGCACUUCGCUGUACUUGGUGCUGGACGCCCUUGCAGGGGGGACCCUGCACGAGGUGAUCAUGCAGAAGUUCAACCAGAAGGCGAACGUCUCUGAGC
This 324-nucleotide non-coding RNA is filed under the name Crypthecodinium cohnii. Lineage: Eukaryota; Dinophyceae; Gonyaulacales; Crypthecodiniaceae. The record is from RNAcentral.